Molecule: ribosomal RNA, 429 nt
Filed under: Chloroflexota bacterium
Lineage: Bacteria; Bacillati; Chloroflexota
Description: Chloroflexi bacterium partial 16S ribosomal RNA
Rfam family: Bacterial small subunit ribosomal RNA
Source: RNAcentral
UGGGGAAUAUUGCACAAUGGGCGCAAGCCUGAUGCAGCCAUGCCGCGUGUGUGAAGAAGGCCUUCGGGUUGUAAAGCACUUUCAGCGGGGAGGAAGGGAGUAAAGUUAAUACCUUUGCUCAUUGACGUUACCCGCAGAAGAAGCACCGGCUAACUCCGUGCCAGCAGCCGCGGUAAUACGGAGGGUGCAAGCGUUAAUCGGAAUUACUGGGCGUAAAGCGCACGCAGGCGGUCUGUCAAGUCGGAUGUGAAAUCCCCGGGCUUAACCUGGGAACUGCAUUCGAAACUGGCAGGCUAGAGUCUUGUAGAGGGGGGUAGAAUUCCAGGUGUAGCGGUGAAAUGCGUAGAGAUCUGGAGGAAUACCGGUGGCGAAGGCGGCCCCCUGGACAAAGACUGACGCUCAGGUGCGAAAGCGUGGGGAGCAAACAGG